UCUUAAUUUAUUUAUUAAAUAUCAACAAUUGGUAUCUAGAGCCUUCUUCUUGAGGGAUAUGUGAGUAGAAGAAUGUAUUCAAAAAAUUGUUCUUCACGAAUGUCUCCUCCUAUUUUUGAUGGUUAGAACUAUCAAUUAUGGGUUGCGAGAAUACAAACUUACUUGGAGGAGCUUGAUAUUUGGGGAUAUGGAAGAGGAUUAUGAAAUCUAUCUGCUGCAAAAUAAUCCCAUCAUGCCCCAAAUCAAGAGUCACAAGGAAAAGAAGACCAUUAAGUCGAAGGCAAAAGAACCUUUUUUUGUUACUAUUUUGACAACCAUUUUCACGAAAAUCAUGACUCUAAUAUCAUCAAAGAUAUUUAGAAUUAUCUGAAGAAAGAAUAUGUUGAAAAUGAAAGAAUACGAGGCAUGAAAGUAUUAAAUUUAAUUAGGAAAUUCGAAUUACAAAAAAUGUAAGAGGAAAUGAAAGAGUAAGAAAAAAUCAAGGAAUACUCUGAGAGGAUUGCUUCAUAUUGUCAACAAGGCACAGGAAUAAAGGAGGCUUAUAAGGAAAGAUGACAUGGUUAAAGGAGCAUUAAUAUCUAGCCAGAAAACUCAAAGAAAGGGUAAAUUUUUGAAAAAUCACUCACCUUGUACGCAUUGGAAAAAAUGGACAUCCUCCAUAUAAAUGUUGGAAAAGACUAUAUGCACAGUUAUAAAUCUUCAACCAACUUGGUCAUGAAGCUCUUAUUUGCAAAAGAAAAUUUAAAAAAGACAAAAGUGUUAGAUGUUUUAAUUAAUUAUGUAAGUUCCUUCUUUCCUAGUUUUAAUGGUAUAUGGUUGCUAUUUCAAAGUUA
This is a long non-coding RNA of Solanum lycopersicum (tomato), 833 nucleotides long. RefSeq lists it as uncharacterized. The record is from RefSeq and is a predicted model, not a curated record. Lineage: Eukaryota; Viridiplantae; Streptophyta; Magnoliopsida; Solanales; Solanaceae.